AACGAACGCUGGCGGCAGGCUUAACACAUGCAAGUCGAACGCACCUUUCGGGGUGAGUGGCAGACGGGUGAGUAACGCGUGGGAAUCUACCCUUCUCUACGGGAUAGCUCCGGGAAACUGGAAUUAAUACCGUAUACGUCCUGAGGGAGAAAGAUUUAUCGGGGAAGGAUGAGCCCGCGUUGGAUUAGCUAGUUGGUGGGGUAAAGGCCUACCAAGGCGACGAUCCAUAGCUGGUCUAAGAGGAUGAUCAGCCACAUUGGGACUGAGAUACGGCCCAAACUCCUACGGGAGGCAGCAGUGGGGAAUAUUGGACAAUGGGCGCAAGCCUGAUCCAGCCAUGCCGCGUGAGUGAUGAAGGCCCUAGGGUUGUAAAGCUCUUUCAGUGGGGACGAUAAUGACGGUACCCACAGAAGAAGCCCCGGCUAACUUCGUG
This 433-nucleotide ribosomal RNA is filed under the name uncultured bacterium. Its description in RNAcentral is "partial 16S ribosomal RNA". It matches the Rfam family "Bacterial small subunit ribosomal RNA", at positions 29 to 507 of the family's 1533-position model. The record is from RNAcentral.